UCCUCAUGACGGUACCUGAAGAAUAAGCACCGGCUAACUACGUGCCAGCAGCCGCGGUAAUACGUAGGGUGCAAGCGUUAAUCGGAAUUACUGGGCGUAAAGCGUGCGCAGGCGGUUUUGUAAGACUGUCGUGAAAUCCCCGGGCUCAACCUGGGAAUGGCGAUGGUGACUGCAAGGCUAGAGUUUGGCAGAGGGGGGUAGAAUUCCACGUGUAGCAGUGAAAUGCGUAGAUAUGUGGAGGAACACCGAUGGCGAAGGCAGCCCCCUGGGUCAAAACUGACGCUCAUGCACGAAAGCGUGGGGAGCAAACAGGAUUAGAUACCCUGGUAGUCCACGCCCUAAACGAUGUCUACUAGUUGUCGGGUCUUAAUUGACUUGGUAACGCAGCUAACGCGUGAAGUAGACCGCCUGGGGAGUACGGUCGCAAGAUUAAAACUCAAAGGAAUUGACGGGGACCCGCACAAGCGGUGGAUGAUGUGGAUUAAUUCGAUGCAACGCGAAAAACCUUACCUACCCUUGACAUGGCAAGAACCUCCGAGAGAUUGGAGGGUGCUCGAAAGAGAACUUG
RNAcentral lists this ribosomal RNA (568 nucleotides) under Duganella flavida. RNAcentral's name for it is "bacterial SSU rRNA". It matches the Rfam family "Bacterial small subunit ribosomal RNA", at positions 464 to 1030 of the family's 1533-position model. The record is from RNAcentral. Lineage: Bacteria; Pseudomonadati; Pseudomonadota; Betaproteobacteria; Burkholderiales; Oxalobacteraceae.